CGUCAACCACUGGUCUCAUCUCCUCAAUAGCCGCCACUACCAAAUCCAUGGCUUCUCCUAUCUCAAAACCUUCUCAAACCCUAACUUUACCCACUUCCUUCUUGGGUCAACGUAAGCCCCUUCAAUCUCGCGCCCCUCGAUCCAUCUCAUUGAAUCGUGGUUCUCAUUCGAGGAAAAGCUUCGUUGCCAAGGCCAGUGUAAGUCAUGUUUUUCAGAUUAAUUGAUUGAUUCGACGACCAUUAUGCUUAAUGAUAAUUUCAUUUAGCAAUGGGACUCUGUAAUGGCGUUUCGCCUCUGUGCUUUUUGUUCUGUAUCGUCGUGUAGGGUGACCUUCCACUUGUUGGAAAUACAGCACCAGAUUUCGAGGCAGAGGCUGUUUUUGAUCAAGAGUUCAUUAAGGUAUGUUUAACGUACCAAUGUCGCCAUUAGUUGUUGCUACAAUUGUCAACCUUUUUUCUGGUGUUAAGAAAUAUGACAAUUUGUUCGGAUAGAAUGUUUUGAAUGUGAAGAAAUCUGGGCUUUAAAUGCUUAAUCAAAUGCUGCUUUAAAUAUCAAAAUUUUCAUAGUUAAUCAUAGGGAAAUUGCCUCUCGGGGCUCAUAGGGUGUUGUAGGAGCUGACAGUACUUGCAAAAGGCUGAAUAAUGGGACUGUGUGAACUCUGCACUCAUGGCUGGGUGAUGUGUUUUGAGUAUUUUAUAAGUUAUCAGCUGAGGGGUCUAUAAUUUUCCAAGCUAAACUGAAUUUUUCAUGAGAAGGUGGAUUAUGUUCUUUUUCCUUGUGGUUGUCAUACUAUGUUGUGUAUUUUAUUCUGUUUUUGAUUGGU
RNAcentral lists this long non-coding RNA (823 nucleotides) under Manihot esculenta (cassava). Its description in RNAcentral is "long non-coding RNA (MESC_LNC004377)". Lineage: Eukaryota; Viridiplantae; Streptophyta; Magnoliopsida; Malpighiales; Euphorbiaceae. The record is from RNAcentral.